RNAcentral lists this long non-coding RNA (725 nucleotides) under Zea mays. Its description in RNAcentral is "long non-coding RNA NONZMAT000517". Lineage: Eukaryota; Viridiplantae; Streptophyta; Magnoliopsida; Poales; Poaceae. The record is from RNAcentral.
GGCGGCGUGCUGGCAGCCUGGGCCGUCGCGUAUUGCCGCCAGCCAGGUUUGUCAGAAUCGGAUCCAUGCAUUUGGUGUGGGAUACUGCAACAUCAGCUGAUGAAGUUUCAGCACGCUGUCCAAUCCAACUCCGUUCUCAUUGCGUGUUCAAUCUACUGAAGCUAGAAAUUCCGCUCUUGGUUAGUCUGUCUUACGAGACUUGAGAUUCGCAUUGCGCGUGUUCAAAAAAAAGAAAAAAAGAGAGGGUUCUGGGUACAGCUGCAGGGAAGAGGGAAAUGAUAUCUUGUGGAGAAACAAGUAACCAUUUUGCUCUACUUGCUGGUGAUCUGAUUAACCGGAUGAACCAUGCCCAUUUUGCAGUUUGGUUAGAUUGAGCCGUGAACUGUGAACACGUUCUAUCUUAACACUACAGAAAAACGCCCAGUUUCCGACGGCCUAAACCGUCGGAAAUAAAUCCUAAACCGACGGAAAUAACUACUUCCGACGGCUUAAGGCGGGUCCCGUCGGAAGUAACGCCGUAGGGGAUACCCAGUCGGAAGUACCCGCGUUUCCGACGGGGCCGUCGGAAGUAAGUUUACUUCCGACGGCCAGGGCGGGACCGUCGGAAAUAAAGCGAGGUGGGCCCCGCAGACGGCCGGCCGCCGACGCCUGCCGCCGUCACAGCUUACUUCCGACGGCCCCGUCGGAAAUAAAGGUCGUCGGAAGUAAUUAAAAAAACAGAGAAA